Molecule: ribosomal RNA, 567 nt
Filed under: Alternaria alternata
Lineage: Eukaryota; Fungi; Ascomycota; Dothideomycetes; Pleosporales; Pleosporaceae
Description: eukaryotic LSU rRNA
Rfam family: 5.8S ribosomal RNA (bases 194-347)
Source: RNAcentral
CGUAGGUGAACCUGCGGAGGGAUCAUUACACAAAUAUGAAGGCGGGCUGGAACCUCUCGGGGUUACAGCCUUGCUGAAUUAUUCACCCUUGUCUUUUGCGUACUUCUUGUUUCCUUGGUGGGUUCGCCCACCACUAGGACAAACAUAAACCUUUUGUAAUUGCAAUCAGCGUCAGUAACAAAUUAAUAAUUACAACUUUCAACAACGGAUCUCUUGGUUCUGGCAUCGAUGAAGAACGCAGCGAAAUGCGAUAAGUAGUGUGAAUUGCAGAAUUCAGUGAAUCAUCGAAUCUUUGAACGCACAUUGCGCCCUUUGGUAUUCCAAAGGGCAUGCCUGUUCGAGCGUCAUUUGUACCCUCAAGCUUUGCUUGGUGUUGGGCGUCUUGUCUCUAGCUUUGCUGGAGACUCGCCUUAAAGUAAUUGGCAGCCGGCCUACUGGUUUCGGAGCGCAGCACAAGUCGCACUCUCUAUCAGCAAAGGUCUAGCAUCCAUUAAGCCUUUUUUCAACUUUUGACCUCGGAUCAGGUAGGGAUACCCGCUGAACUUAAGCAUAUCAAUAAGCGGAGGA